RNAcentral lists this ribosomal RNA (381 nucleotides) under uncultured Entrophospora. RNAcentral describes it as "uncultured Claroideoglomus partial 28S ribosomal RNA". Lineage: Eukaryota; Fungi; Glomeromycota; Glomeromycetes; Entrophosporales; Entrophosporaceae. The record is from RNAcentral.
GUGAAAUUGUUGAAAGGGAAACGAUUGAAGUCAGUCGUGCUGGCAUGAAAUCAACCACUACGCGCUUAAAAAUGUUGGCGGGUGAGCCUAAAAACCACCGCGCUAACGUUUUUAAGUGCGUAGUGGUGCACUUUUGUGUCGGCUGGUUAGCAUCAAUUUCGACCGUCAUAAAAAGGCUGGGGGGAUGUGGCUCCUUCGGGAGUGUUAUAACCCUUAGCGGAAUGUGGUGGACGAGAUUGAGGUUUGCAACGGGUGUUGCUCUACCUGGCCUCUCGCUGGCGCCCUGGAGGCGACAGCUUGCUGACGUCUUUGGGAGCCGCUGACGAAAAGGUUAGAGUGGAGUUGCUCGUUAAGGAUGCUGACGUAAUGGCUUUAAACGAC